Molecule: small nucleolar RNA, 129 nt
Organism: Cairina moschata (Muscovy duck)
Lineage: Eukaryota; Metazoa; Chordata; Aves; Anseriformes; Anatidae
Source: Ensembl
CAGGCCCUGAAUGAAGGCCGCCGGUUUGCCGUAGCCGCUGGUUUCAAGCAGGAGCCCAGAGGAAAAACCUCCCGGUCUGUUGGCGUUCCCGGCCCCGUGGAACAACCAAUUCGUGUGGGAGCGACACGG